AGGUAGAGACCGAUAGCAACCACGUGAUCAGUAAAAAUCGUGUAUUUUCACGUGAAAUUAUUUUUCGGAAUUCCGUACAUCGCCAUAGAGUAGUUGAAAAACAAAAAGGGGUUCCGAAAGUACAAGUUGUUGCUGUGACUGAAUCGAUGAUUGAGAGGGUCGUCUCGACGAAAGAUAUAGAAAUUUGGCCAUAGUUUAGAUUAGGAAUACGUCAAUGUAAUAAUAGUGGACUAAAUGUUUCGUCCGUGCAGAAUGGCACUUUUUACCUCACGAAAUUCACCACCAUGCAUAGCUGCGCUACGUAAACAAAGUUGUUGAUGUAGCGUGAUCGUGGUGUCCGAGUGCUGCGAGUUUCAAUACUGUUUAUGUAGUCAAUGAGAGUUUAAACAAAGUUUCUUCUGAGAAGAGGAAUUCGAUGGAUGCAUUCAACGUGGACAACGAAAUCAUAAUUUCGUUUGCAUCAUCCUAAGGACCAGUGCAAGUUGAAAUGAGCUUCCAGCCAACAACUUCAACAGCAAUUUGCCAUGAAAAUCAGCAAGAAAGGUACUUCAUUUACAUUGAUGAUGUCAUAUCCCCUGGACCCCACAACUUUACAGGUUACAGAGAAAAUUCAAGAACUUCUGCAAAAUGUGGGACUUGGAUAGAAUCAAUAAUGUAUUUGUGAGCCCAGAGCAAUGGAUAUAUUGUGCAACAUACUAAAGUGUGAAUUUAAUGGAAAACAAGUACAUGUACUCAUGUAUUACAUGUCUUUUUUAAAGACAAUAAUAUUGUAUAUAUAUAGAGGAAGUGUCAUUGUUGAUUAUUCUAAGUUUUUGAUAUAUCAAAAUCAGUAAACAUUUCUAAAUGAAAAUAAAAUACCAAUUUUAUAACUUUAA
Molecule: long non-coding RNA, 875 nt
Organism: Ostrea edulis (European flat oyster)
Lineage: Eukaryota; Metazoa; Mollusca; Bivalvia; Ostreida; Ostreidae
Exons: 3
Source: RefSeq, a predicted model, not a curated record